AAUGAACGCUGGCGGCGUGCUUAACACAUGCAAGUCGUGCGCGAAGGCGGCUUCGGCCGCCGGAGAGCGGCGAACGGGUGAGUAACACGUGGGUAAUCUGCCUGGGAGCGGGGGAUAACCUGGGGAAACCCGGGCUAACACCGCAUACGAUGCCGGGACGUUGGUUCCGGCCUGAAAACUGGCCUCUGCUUGCAAGCUAGUGCUCCCAGAGGAGCCCGCGGCUGAUUAGCUAGUUGGUGGGGUAACGGCUCACCAAGGCGACGAUCAGUAGCCGGCCUGAGAGGGUGAUCGGCCACACUGGGACUGAGACACGGCCCAGACUCCUACGCGAGGCAGCAGUGGGGAAUAUUGGACAAUGGGCGCAAGCCUGAUCCAGCAACGCCGCGUGGAGGAUGAAGGUCUUCGGAUCGUAAACUCCUGUCAGACGGGACGAAGGUCUGUGGGUGAAUAAUCCGCAGGCUUGACGGUACCGUCAGAGGAAGCCCCGGCUAACUCCGUGCCAGCAGCCGCGGUAAUACGGAGGGGGCGAGCGUUAUUCGGAAUUAUUGGGCGUAAAGGGCGCGUAGGCGGUUCGACAAGUCAAAGGUGAAAUCCCUCGGCUCAGCUGAGGAACUGCCUUUGAAACUGUCGAGCUUGAGUCCGGGAGGGGGUAGCGGAAUUCCCAGUGUAGCGGUGAAAUGCGUAGAUAUUGGGAGGAACACCGGUGGCGAAGGCGGCUACCUGGACCGGAACUGACGCUGAUGCGCGAAAGCGUGGGUAGCAAACAGGAUUAGAUACCCUGGUAGUCCACGCUGUAAACGAUGGGUGCUCGGUGUCGCGGGUAUCGACCCCUGCGGUGCCUUAGCUAACGCGUUAAGCACCCCGCCUGGGGAGUACGGUCGCAAGGCUGAAACUCAAAGGAAUUGACGGGGGCCCGCACAAGCGGUGGAGCAUGUGGUUUAAUUCGAUGCAACGCGAAGAACCUUACCUGGGCUUGAACUGUGGUGGACGUCUCUGGAAACAGGGGU
RNAcentral lists this ribosomal RNA (1007 nucleotides) under uncultured bacterium. RNAcentral's name for it is "bacterial SSU rRNA". It matches the Rfam family "Bacterial small subunit ribosomal RNA", at positions 28 to 1013 of the family's 1533-position model. The record is from RNAcentral.